RNAcentral lists this ribosomal RNA (460 nucleotides) under uncultured bacterium. Its description in RNAcentral is "partial 16S ribosomal RNA". It matches the Rfam family "Bacterial small subunit ribosomal RNA", at positions 338 to 795 of the family's 1533-position model. The record is from RNAcentral.
CCUACGGGGUGCAGCAGUGAGGAAUAUUGGUCAAUGGACGAGAGUCUGAACCAGCCAAGUAGCGUGAAGGAUGACUGCCCUAUGGGUUGUAAACUUCUUUUAUAUGGGAAUAAAAUGUUCCACGUGUGGGAUUUUGUAUGUACCAUAUGAAUAAGGAUCGGCUAACUCCGUGCCAGCAGCCGCGGUAAUACGGAGGAUCCGAGCGUUAUCCGGAUUUAUUGGGUUUAAAGGGAGCGUAGGUGGAUUGUUAAGUCAGUUGUGAAAGUUUGCGGCUCAACCGUAAAAUUGCAGUUGAAACUGGCAGUCUUGAGUACAGUAGAGGUGGGCGGAAUUCGUGGUGUAGCGGUGAAAUUCUUAGAUAUCACGAAGAACUCCGAUUGCGAAGGCAGUUCACUGGACUGCAACUGACACUGAGGCUCGAAAGUGUGGGUAUCAAACAGGAUUAGAUACCCGGGUAGUC